UCGACACAAUUAUUUUGGGACACUUACACUUGGACUAAAACUCACACACUCACUUCAUAAUACUCUCACUUUGUGUUUUCAACUCACUUUUAAUUGUGCCUCUCUUCAUCACGCAACAUACUAAUUGACACUUGCUAUUUAUACUAGUGCUAAGUGGGCUAAACUAUGUUAUUUAGACUAUUUCACAAGCUCCUACAUACAUUUAAUUAAAAUAGUCCAUAAGCUCUAGCAUUCUCUACAUCAAUUUUACUCAUUGUCUUCUAGAACUCAUAUUACACAAAUGAGCUUUUUAAUUUAUCUAUUAAUCUAGAACUUUCUUUAUCAUGCUAAGUUUAUAUGUGGAAUACUUUCCCAGAUUAUGUCUAAUAUUAACAAUAUCCCUUCUUCCGUCACGCCACCAUGUCUGCCACCCACAUCCACCGCACAACCCAACGCCACCACUUCCAAACCCACGCAGCCCUUGAUUCCAUGUUUGCUGCCCCAAUUAAAAGUUUUGUUUUAGGGUUAAGAAGUUUCUUGUUCUUUGAUCGAGUUUACUUUCUCUUUUGAUGCUGUUGAUUUGAUUUUCUGAUUUCAGAUUACGAAUCAAUAACCUUUGCAGCAAUGGAUGAGGCAAGAGAUUAUGAGGAAGCAAUGUUUGAUGUUGUUUCUUGUUUGAUCUCGGAGGAUUGAGGAUGGGCAUGACAUGUUUGCUUUGGAGAUGCAUUUUAUGGUUCCAGUACUUUUAUCCUGCAAAUUAAUUGUUGAAUUUGUUGUCAUGUAGCUAUUUUUGAUGCCCUGCUUUGAAUUAUGCUUUUAGUAUUGAACUUUCGACAGCACUUCACCAGCAGCAACUGGGACAGCAACAGCCGCAAAAGAGCAGCUGCUGCAACACGUGGUAUCAACGACAGCAGCAACUUUGACUUUCGACAGCAGCAUCCACGACAUCGGCAACAUCAUCAGUCACAGCACACGACAAAACUGACAGCAAAAUUCUCGACAUGCACAGCAGCAGCAACGACAAUGACAACAGCAGCAGCAUGUCACAUUAACGGCAACAACAAGCUCGACACACGACAGCAGCAGCUGCACGCGGCAGUAACAACAACAGCAACCUCGAUACACGCAGUAGCAGCCACGAUAAAACACCAAUAGCAUCAGCACGCAACAUCAACGACAUCAACAAGCUCACUCAGCAGCAAGCAUGACAUAGACAACAUUUGCUAUUGUGAAUGCAGGAUUUGUUCUCAUUGACUUACAGAUAUUCAUUCCAUUGAAAUUAAAACCAAUUUGUAAUAAUUACUCUAAUUGUUGGUUCUAUAUAUUUUUUAUAAAGUAAUGUUGUAUAUUUGUAAAUAACAUAAUGAUAAUAUUUUACAAUGAUUUCGGUUUGUUGCCA
Amaranthus tricolor (Joseph's coat) is the source of this 1378-nucleotide long non-coding RNA. RefSeq lists it as uncharacterized. Lineage: Eukaryota; Viridiplantae; Streptophyta; Magnoliopsida; Caryophyllales; Amaranthaceae. The transcript is spliced from 2 exons. The record is from RefSeq and is a predicted model, not a curated record.